UACGGAGGGAGCAAGCGUUACUCGGAAUUAUUGGGCGUAAAGGGCGCGUAGGCGAUUUGGCAAGUCUUGUGUGAAAGCCCACAGCCUAACUGUGGAAGUGCACAAGAUACUGCCGUGCUUGAGGACUGGAGAGGAGACUGGAAUUUACGGUGUAGCGGUGAAAUGCGUAGAUAUCGUAAGGAAGACCAGUGGCGAAGGCGGGUCUCUGGACAGUUCCUGACGCUGAGGCACGAAGGUCAGGGGAGCAAACGGG
Molecule: ribosomal RNA, 253 nt
Filed under: uncultured bacterium
Lineage: Bacteria
Description: partial 16S ribosomal RNA
Rfam family: Bacterial small subunit ribosomal RNA
Source: RNAcentral